Molecule: unclassified non-coding RNA, 472 nt
Filed under: Hevea brasiliensis (rubber tree)
Lineage: Eukaryota; Viridiplantae; Streptophyta; Magnoliopsida; Malpighiales; Euphorbiaceae
Source: RNAcentral
CUCCUUUGUUGGCGGAAGGUUUAUUUUCUUUGUUGGCAGUGAUAGAGACAAUUUCAGGGUACUUUCAGUCUUCAAUCUGGACACCUUAGAAUGGACAUCCUCGACGAAGUUGGAGAAAGAGAAGAUUACCGCUGACGAUUUGCUAAUUUUUACUGCAUUUGGAGAACAUAGCAGCGACAAAUACCUGUAUGGUUUGCAUGGACUUAUCAACAAACGUAUCUUAAGGUUAGGGCCCUUGUCUAAUAUAGACCAAAAUCCAAGAAUGUUCAGCACCCUCCCAAUCAAGACUAUAUCAAUGACGGAACAAGUUGAAUCUUUUUAUGAGAAUUGGACUGUAGCAGUUUUAUUUUGCACUUGGGGAAUCGGCGUUUCUGUUAUCUGCACUCUGGGUCUCCUCAUGGUUUUGGAUUUCCUGCUACUGUUCAAGAUGAUUACCCGCGCAAUCUUAAAUUGUUUGUCUUCGAGGAAACCA